This 468-nucleotide ribosomal RNA is filed under the name uncultured bacterium. Its description in RNAcentral is "partial 16S ribosomal RNA". It matches the Rfam family "Bacterial small subunit ribosomal RNA", at positions 28 to 507 of the family's 1533-position model. The record is from RNAcentral.
GACGAACGCUGGCGGCGUGCUUAACACAUGCAAGUCGAACGGAAAGGCCCUGCUUUUGUGGGGUGCUCGAGUGGCGAACGGGUGAGUAACACGUGAGUAACCUGCCCUUGACUUUGGGAUAACUUCAGGAAACUGGGGCUAAUACCGGAUAGGAGCUCCUGCUGCAUGGUGGGGGUUGGAAAGUUUCGGCGGUUGGGGAUGGACUCGCGGCUUAUCAGCUUGUUGGUGGGGUAGUGGCUUACCAAGGCUUUGACGGGUAGCCGGCCUGAGAGGGUGACCGGCCACAUUGGGACUGAGAUACGGCCCAGACUACUACGGGAGGCAGCAGUGGGGAAUAUUGCACAAUGGGAGGAAGCCUGAUGCAGCAACGCCGCGUGCGGGAUAACGGCCUUCGGGUUGUAAACCGCUUUCGCCUGUGACGAAGCGUGAGUGACGGUAAUGGGUAAAGAAGCACCGGCUAACUACGUG